ACCUGCGGAAGGAUCAUUGUCGUGACCCUGACCAAAACAGACCGUGAACAUGUCAUCCAUGCCGCCGGUUGAUGGGGCUUGCACCUAUCUCUUGGCCUGGGCCACCGACCUUCUUCCAGAGGGGGGCAGGGGCCCAAAAGAACCCACGGCGCCGUAUGGCGUCAAGGAAAACUAACAUUGCCUUGCCUGGGGUGACAACUGGCUUGCCGGACGUGCCCCGUGCAGCGAUGCUAUGGAAAUUCACAUGACUCUCGGCAACGGAUAUCUCGGCUCUUGCAUCGAUGAAGAACGUAGCAAAAUGCGAUACCUGGUGUGAAUUGCAGAAUCCCGUGAACCAUCGAGUUUUUGAACGCAAGUUGCGCCCGAGGCCUUCUGGUCGAGGGCACGUCUGCCUGGGCGUCACGCCAAAAGACACUCCACACCAAUCCUGGUCUGGACGUGGUGUUUGGCCCCUCAUGCCGCAAGGCGUGGUAGGCCGAAGAUGGGGCUGCCGGCGGUGCCGAUCACAGCACAAGGUGGAUGACGCAAGUUGUUCUCGGUGUUAUGAUCUGGACCACUCCCGGAGAUGUCAUGGCCCUUUGGACCCAUGGUUUCGAGUGCAUGUUGUUCGAACCGCGACCCCAGGUCAGUCGGGACUACCCGCUGAAUUUAAGCAUAUCAAUAAGCGG
RNAcentral lists this ribosomal RNA (668 nucleotides) under Disakisperma yemenicum. Its description in RNAcentral is "eukaryotic LSU rRNA". The stretch from base 247 to 402 matches the Rfam family "5.8S ribosomal RNA". Lineage: Eukaryota; Viridiplantae; Streptophyta; Magnoliopsida; Poales; Poaceae. The record is from RNAcentral.